UCCGUAGGCGGUGCGGCAAGUCGGAAGUGAAAUCUCAGGGCUUAACCCUGAGGCUGCUUCCGAAACUGCCGUGCUGGAGUGCGAGAGAGGCGAGUGGAAUUGCAGGUGUAGCGGUGAAAUGCGUAGAUAUCUGCAGGAACAUCCGAGGCGAAAGCGGCUCGCUGGAUCGCAACUGACGCUGAGGGACGAAAGCUAGGGGAGCAAACAGGAUUAGAUACCCUGGUAGUCCUAGCCCUAAACGAUCAGGACUGGGCGUGGGCCUCGUACGGGGCUCGUGCCGCAGCUAACGCGUUAAGUCCUGCGCCUGGGAGGUACGGUCGCAAGGCUGAA
Molecule: ribosomal RNA, 330 nt
Filed under: uncultured bacterium
Lineage: Bacteria
Description: bacterial SSU rRNA
Rfam family: Bacterial small subunit ribosomal RNA
Source: RNAcentral